CCUACGGGGGACAGCAGUGAGGAAUAUUGGUCAAUGGACGCGAGUCUGAACCAGCCAAGCCGCGUGCAGGAUGACUGCCCUAUGAGUUGUAAACUGCUUUUAUAUGAGGAUAAACCGUUCUACGCGUGUGUUUUUGAAUGUACCGUACGAAUACGGAUCGGCUAACUCCGUGCAAGCAGCCGCGGUAAUACGGAGGAUCCGAGCGUUAUCCGGAUUUAUUGGGUUUAAAGGGUGCGUAGGCGGUCGGUUAAGUCAGAUGUGAAAGCCCGAGGCUCAACUGGAGAAUUGCAGUUGAAACUGGCAGGCUUGAGAGUAGUAGCGGUAGGCGGAAUGCGUGGUGUAGCGGUGAAAUGCUUAGAGAUCACGAAGAACACCGAUUGCGAAGGCAGCUUACUGGGCUACAACUGACGUUGAGGCACGAAAGCGUGGGUAGCAAACAGGAUUAGAUACCCGUGUAGUC
RNAcentral lists this ribosomal RNA (460 nucleotides) under uncultured bacterium. RNAcentral's name for it is "partial 16S ribosomal RNA". It matches the Rfam family "Bacterial small subunit ribosomal RNA", at positions 338 to 795 of the family's 1533-position model. The record is from RNAcentral.